GGACAGAUGGCCGAGUGGUUGAAGGCGCACGCCUGGAAAGUGUGUAUACGGGUGACCGUAUCGCGAGUUCGAAUCUCGCUCUGUCCGCCA
This 90-nucleotide transfer RNA is filed under the name Holosporaceae bacterium. Its description in RNAcentral is "tRNA-Ser". It matches the Rfam family "tRNA". From Rfam's summary of the family: Transfer RNA (tRNA) molecules are approximately 80 nucleotides in length. Their secondary structure includes four short double-helical elements and three loops (D, anti-codon, and T loops). The record is from RNAcentral. Lineage: Bacteria; Pseudomonadati; Pseudomonadota; Alphaproteobacteria; Holosporales; Holosporaceae.